CACCAAUGCUACUCAGUUUUGUUGCGGGGUUUCCCUCAUUGCUUGAUCUUGUUGUUCUGUUUUGCUGUGUUAUUAAAUCCGGGCUUUCUUCGAAGUGAAGUAAGGUGGAAGGAGAUUAUUUCUUGGCAUAUGAGGUUUAUCAUAUUAAUUGUGGAAGUUCUUGGAUGGACUGAGCUCUUGAACGACGUGAGGUACAGAUGCUCACGUUGGUAACCCGCCAGCUUAGGAGUCCUAUUCAGCUAUCUUGGAGAGCUCCCUUGUUCCGGAGCCUAGAAUUUGGUACAGAAUCUCUUGUGGUGUAUAUGUAUUUUAUCCAGGGGUCGGCGGGGCCCUGUCCCGUCAUAUGAUACUGUUGUUACUCUUAGAGGUCUGUAGACAUAUGUGUGGGUUGUGUAUAAGUUCUGUUCAGCUGUGUCUAUACGAUGUGCUAUGAUAUGAUGUCCGUCUGUAGUGGCAGCCUUGUCGGCUUGCAAUGACAUGAUAUUGAUGUGUAGUGGCAACCUUGUCGGCUUGCGUAUCAUUUUA
Molecule: long non-coding RNA, 525 nt
Organism: Lycium barbarum (goji berry)
Lineage: Eukaryota; Viridiplantae; Streptophyta; Magnoliopsida; Solanales; Solanaceae
Exons: 3
Source: RefSeq, a predicted model, not a curated record